UAGGGAAUCUUCGGCAAUGGGGGGAACCCUGACCGAGCAACGCCGCGUGAGUGAAGAAGGUUUUCGGAUCGUAAAGCUCUGUUGUUAAGGAAGAACGAGUGUGAGAAUGGAAAGUUCAUACUGUGACGGUACUUAACCAGAAAGGGACGGCUAACUACGUGCCAGCAGCCGCGGUAAUACGUAGGUCCCGAGCGUUGUCCGGAUUUAUUGGGCGUAAAGCGAGCGCAGGCGGUUAGAUAAGUCUGAAGUUAAAGGCAGUGGCUCAACCAUUGUAGGCUUUGGGAACUGUUUAACUUGAGUGCAGAAGGAGGGAGUGGAAUUCCAUGUGUAACGGUGAAAUGCGUAGAUAUAUGGAGGAACACCGGUGGCGAAAGCGGCUCUCUGGUCUAUAACUGACGCUGAGGCUCGAAAGCGUGGGGAGCGAACAGG
This 429-nucleotide ribosomal RNA is filed under the name Bacteroidota bacterium. RNAcentral's name for it is "Bacteroidetes bacterium partial 16S ribosomal RNA". It matches the Rfam family "Bacterial small subunit ribosomal RNA", at positions 355 to 776 of the family's 1533-position model. Lineage: Bacteria; Pseudomonadati; Bacteroidota. The record is from RNAcentral.